UGGGGAAUAUUGCACAAUGGGCGCAAGCCUGAUGCAGCCAUGCCGCGUGUAUGAAGAAGGCCUUCGGGUUGUAAAGUACUUUCAGUCGUGAGGAAGGUGGUGUAGUUAAUAGCUGCAUUAUUUGACGUUAGCGACAGAAGAAGCACCGGCUAACUCCGUGCCAGCAGCCGCGGUAAUACGGAGGGUGCGAGCGUUAAUCGGAAUUACUGGGCGUAAAGCGCAUGCAGGUGGUUUGUUAAGUCAGAUGUGAAAGCCCGGGGCUCAACCUCGGAAUAGCAUUUGAAACUGGCAGACUAGAGUACUGUAGAGGGGGGUAGAAUUUCAGGUGUAGCGGUGAAAUGCGUAGAGAUCUGAAGGAAUACCGGUGGCGAAGGCGGCCCCCUGGACAGAUACUGACACUCAGAUGCGAAAGCGUGGGGAGCAAACAGGAUUAGAUACCCCCGUAGUCC
RNAcentral lists this ribosomal RNA (449 nucleotides) under uncultured prokaryote. Its description in RNAcentral is "bacterial SSU rRNA". It matches the Rfam family "Bacterial small subunit ribosomal RNA", at positions 355 to 796 of the family's 1533-position model. The record is from RNAcentral.